Long non-coding RNA from Phoenix dactylifera (date palm), 1060 nucleotides. RefSeq lists it as uncharacterized. NCBI's taxonomy places the organism in Eukaryota, Viridiplantae, Streptophyta, Magnoliopsida, Arecales, Arecaceae. The record is from RefSeq and is a predicted model, not a curated record.
CAUACAUGGUUACUCACCAACAAUUAAUUUUCUUCUCGCCUCUGCACUGCAAUUCUACGCAUCGCCUUUUUGGAGACAUUAACAAAAAAAAAAGGAAGAUCGACUGAAUUCUAUUUACUCGAUCAAAGUUUGUACUAAAAGACGGGAGGGAAAGGCAACUUGUACUUGAUCGUCUACCACCAGCAUCAUCGCCAUCAGCUUUCAGAGUCCUAAAGCGAUCCAAGGGAAGGUACCACCAGUUCGCGAUCCGAUGUUCUACUUUCCUUUUUUCGAUCUUACGACGACCCAAACCAAGUCAGCCUCGGAAAGGAUGAGGGUGAGGGGAGAAGUUCGGCCCAAGCCGAACUCCCCCCGACCUCCACGUUUUUCUUUUUAAGAACGGACGAGUAGGGGAAGAGGAAGUACUCCUCUACCUCCCCGUUUCUCUCUCUUUAAUCCCACAUAGAGAUCCACUCUCUUGAUCGCUGCCUCUCCCUGCGUUGGCGUUUUUGGAGAAGAAGAAGAAGAAGAAGGGAAAAGAGAGAGGAAUCCAAGUAAUCCAUAUAUCAUCUUUAAGAUGGGUGAUGCCGUGAAAACAAAGUCUAAUAACAAAAGAGAAGUCCCAGCAAGAGCUCACGAAGAGGUGCUAAGCGAGCCAUGCAAGCAAAUGAGUUCACCAUUUACGUGAGGUCGUGGACCUCGAAGAUAUUGGAGCUUCCGGCGAUGGGUUCUGAUAGCAUCAACCGUAUCAAGGAAAUGAUGUUCUCCAAGGAAAAAACACCGAAGGACCGACAAAUUCUCAUAUUUAAAGAGCAAGAGCUGGAAGACCACCAAACUUUGGAUCACUACGGUAUUAAGAACGACUCCUGGUUAGAUCAGCGCAUGAAGCGUUAUAUGCUAGAUAUUAUUCCCUAGAAAAAUGAAGCAUCAGUUUUCUUUUUUUUUCCGUGAAGUUUUUUUUUUCCUUUCUCUUUGGAGAGAAAGAAAAGUGCAAACUUACUGUUAACUAUUUAAGUGUUGCAUUGGAGCUCCGCAAAUUAAAAACAAUAGUAUCACAUCAUAUUUGCUUGAUUGUGAUUUA